GUGCUCGCUUUGGCAGCACAUAUACUAAAAUUGGAAAGAUAUAGAGAAGACUAGCACGGCCCCUGCACAGGAUGACAUGCAAAUUUGUGAAGCGUUCCAUUUUGUU
Small nuclear RNA from Octodon degus (degu), 106 nucleotides. The record is from Ensembl. NCBI's taxonomy places the organism in Eukaryota, Metazoa, Chordata, Mammalia, Rodentia, Octodontidae.